ACGAACGCUGGCGGCGUGCCUAACACAUGCAAGUCGAACGAGGUCCAUGCAGUGGCAACACUGCGGAAGACCUAGUGGCGAACGGGUGAGUAACACGUGAGGAACUUGCCCCGGAGACCGGGAUAAGCUGGGGAAACCUGGUCUAAUACCGGAUGCUCUCAUUGAGUCGCAUGGCUCGAUGAGAAAAUGGAUUCCGCUCCGGGAGAGCCUCGCGGCCUAUCAGCUAGUUGGUGGGGUAACGGCCCACCAAGGCAUCGACGGGUAGCUGGUCUGAGAGGACGAUCAGCCACACUGGGACUGAGACACGGCCCAGACUCCUACGGGAGGCAGCAGUGGGGAAUCUUGCGCAAUGGGCGAAAGCCUGACGCAGCAACGCCGCGUGCGGGAUGAAGGCCCUCGGGUUGUAAACCGCUUUCAGUGGGGACGAACCAAGACGGUACCCACAGAAGAAGCCCCGGCCAACUACGU
Molecule: ribosomal RNA, 468 nt
Filed under: uncultured bacterium
Lineage: Bacteria
Description: bacterial SSU rRNA
Rfam family: Bacterial small subunit ribosomal RNA
Source: RNAcentral